GGGCCCGCACAAGCGGUGGAGCAUGUGGUUUAAUUCGACGCAACGCGCAGAACCUUACCAGCCCUUGACAUGUCCGGGACCGGUCGCAGAGACGUGACCUUCUCUUCGGAGCCCGGAACACAGGUGCUGCAUGGCUGUCGUCAGCUCGUGUCGUGAGAUGUUGGGUUAAGUCCCGCAACGAGCGCAACCCCCGUCCUUAGUUGCUACCAUUCAGUUGAGCACUCUAAGGAGACUGCCGGUGAUAAGCCGCGAGGAAGGUGGGGAUGACGUCAAGUCCUCAUGGCCCUUACGGGCUGGGCUACACACGUGCUACAAUGGCGGUGACAAUGGGAUGCGAAGGCGCAAGCCCUGGCAAAUCUCAAAAAGCCGUCUCAGUUCGGAUUGGGCUCUGCAACUCGAGCCCAUGAAGUUGGAAUCGCUAGUAAUCGUGGAUCAGCACGCCACGGUGAAUACGUUCCCGGGCCUU
RNAcentral lists this ribosomal RNA (466 nucleotides) under uncultured bacterium. RNAcentral describes it as "bacterial SSU rRNA". It matches the Rfam family "Bacterial small subunit ribosomal RNA", at positions 917 to 1382 of the family's 1533-position model. The record is from RNAcentral.